This 73-nucleotide transfer RNA is filed under the name Bos taurus (domestic cattle). It matches the Rfam family "tRNA". Rfam says of the family: Transfer RNA (tRNA) molecules are approximately 80 nucleotides in length. Their secondary structure includes four short double-helical elements and three loops (D, anti-codon, and T loops). Further hydrogen bonds mediate the characteristic L-shaped molecular structure. tRNAs have two regions of fundamental functional importance: the anti-codon, which is responsible for specific mRNA codon recognition, and the 3' end, to which the tRNAs corresponding amino acid is attached (by aminoacyl-tRNA synthetases). tRNAs cope with the degeneracy of the genetic code in two manners: having more than one tRNA (with a specific anti-codon) for a particular amino acid; and 'wobble' base-pairing, i.e. permitting non-standard base-pairing at the 3rd anti-codon position. RNAcentral also lists the same sequence under 1 other name. The record is from Rfam by way of RNAcentral. Lineage: Eukaryota; Metazoa; Chordata; Mammalia; Artiodactyla; Bovidae.
UCCCUUUCAGCUUAGUUGGUAAAAGAAUCUGCCUGCAAUGCAGGAGACCUGGGUUCGAUUCCUGGGUUGGGAA